CACGUAGUUAGCCGUGGCUUCCUCGUAAGAUACCAUCACUUAAUGGUCAUUUCCUAUCAUUACCGUUUUUCUCUUACAACAGAGCUUUACGACCCGAAGGCCUUCUUCACUCACGCGGCAUUGCUCGUUCAGGGUUUCCCCCAUUGACGAAAAUUCCCUACUGCUGCCUCCCGUAGGAGUUUGGGCCGUGUCUCAGUCCCAAUGUGGCCGUCUACCCUCUCAGGCCGGCUACGUAUCAUCGCUUUGGUGGGCCGUUACCCCGCCAACUGGCUAAUACGCCGCAGGUCCAUCCAUGUCCGCACCCGAAGGUCCUUUAAUAUAGCCAAGAUGCCUUGUCUAUACCUAUCCGGUUUUAGCAGACGUUUCCAUCUGUUAUCCCGGGUACAUGGGCAGGUUCCCUACGUGUUACUCACCCGUUCGCCACUAAGUCUGUCAAAAGCAAGCUUUCAACAGUCUUCGUUCGACUUGCAUGUAUUAGGCAUGCCGCCAGCGUUCAUCCUGAGCCAGGAUCAAACUCU
Molecule: ribosomal RNA, 518 nt
Filed under: uncultured Bacillota bacterium
Lineage: Bacteria; Bacillati; Bacillota
Description: uncultured Firmicutes bacterium partial 16S ribosomal RNA
Source: RNAcentral